GCAUAUCAAUAAGCGGAGGAAAAGAAACCAACAGGGAUUCCCUCAGUAGCGGCGAGCGAAGCGGGAGGAGCCCAAGCUCUGAAUCUGGGCGCGCGCCAAGUCCGUGCCCCGAAUUGUGGCCUCAUGGCAAGGCAUCGCUGAGCGCGGUUGCUGGUCGGGCAAAAGUCCCUUGGAAAAGGGCGCCAGGGAGGGUGACAGCCCCGUCCAUUGGUCCGGCAUCGCGGCCGUCUCGAUUGCGCUGUUGCACUUGCCCCAGAGUCGAGUUGUUUGGGAAU
This 275-nucleotide ribosomal RNA is filed under the name uncultured fungus. RNAcentral describes it as "partial 26S ribosomal RNA". It matches the Rfam family "Eukaryotic large subunit ribosomal RNA", at positions 38 to 281 of the family's 3401-position model. Lineage: Eukaryota; Fungi. The record is from RNAcentral.